This is a non-coding RNA of Mycena rosella, 90 nucleotides long. NCBI's taxonomy places the organism in Eukaryota, Fungi, Basidiomycota, Agaricomycetes, Agaricales, Mycenaceae. The record is from the annotation of a GenBank genome assembly.
UCGGACGUGGUGCGCGGUGUACGCCUGCUCUUAAUGUGAUGCUUCUUGCGGUUGAUGCAGGAAGUCUGGGUUCGACUCCCAGCGUCCGAA